Molecule: ribosomal RNA, 447 nt
Filed under: uncultured bacterium
Lineage: Bacteria
Description: bacterial SSU rRNA
Rfam family: Bacterial small subunit ribosomal RNA
Source: RNAcentral
UCGGGAAUUUUGGACAAUGGGCGCAAGCCUGAUCCAGCCAUGCCGCGUGGAUGAUGAAGGCCUUAGGGUUGUAAAAUCCUUUCGUUGGGGACGAUAAUGACGGUACCCAAAGAAGAAGCUCCGGCUAACUUCGUGCCAGCAGCCGCGGUAAUACGAAGGGGGCUAGCGUUGUUCGGAUUUACUGGGCGUAAAGCGCGUGUAGGCGGAUUUGUAAGUUGGGGGUGAAAUCCCGAGGCUCAACCUCGGAACUGCCUCCAAAACUACAAGUCUGGACCUAAGUAGAGGCAAGUGGAAUUGCGAGUGUAGAGGUGAAAUUCGUAGAUAUUCGCAGGAACACCAGUGGCGAAGGCGGCUAUCUGGUCGAGUACUGACACUGAGACACGAAAGCAUGGGGAUCAAACAGGAUUAGAUACCCCGGUAGUCCCUGAGCGGGCUGGCAAGGCGCAU